This 850-nucleotide ribosomal RNA is filed under the name Sphaeropsis visci. RNAcentral's name for it is "eukaryotic LSU rRNA". It matches the Rfam family "Eukaryotic large subunit ribosomal RNA", at positions 74 to 942 of the family's 3401-position model. Lineage: Eukaryota; Fungi; Ascomycota; Dothideomycetes; Botryosphaeriales; Botryosphaeriaceae. The record is from RNAcentral.
AUUGCCUUAGUAACGGCGAGUGAAGCGGCAACAGCUCAAAUUUGAAAGCUGGCCCUUUCAGGGUCCGCGUUGUAAUUUGUAGAGGAUGAUUCGGCGAGGGCUCCCGCCUAAGUCCCCUGGAACGGGGCGUCAUAGAGGGUGAGAAUCCCGUAUGCGGUGGGCUGCCUUAGCCGUGUGAAUCUCCUUCGACGAGUCGAGUUGUUUGGGAAUGCAGCUCUAAAUGGGAGGUAAAUUUCUUCUAAAGCUAAAUACCGGCCAGAGACCGAUAGCGCACAAGUAGAGUGAUCGAAAGAUGAAAAGCACUUUGGAAAGAGAGUUAAAAAGUACGUGAAAUUGUUGAAAGGGAAGCGCUUGCAACCAGACUUGUCCGCAGUUGCUCAGCCGGUCUCCUGACCGGCGUACUCUUCUGCGGCCAGGCCAGCAUCAGUUCGGGCGGUCGGAUAAAGACCUCGGGAAUGUAGCUCCUCUCGGGGAGUGUUAUAGCCCGGGGUGGAAUGCGGCCAGCCUGGACUGAGGAUCUCGCUUCGGCAAGGAUGCUGGCGUAAUGGUUGUAAGCGGCCCGUCUUGAAACACGGACCAAGGAGUCUAACAUCUAUGCGAGUGUUUGGGUGUCAAACCCAUACGCGUAAUGAAAGUGAACGGAGGUGGGAACCCGCAAGGGCGCACCAUCGGCCGAUCCUGAUGUCUUCGGAUGGAUUUGAGCAAGAGCAUAGCUGUUGGGACCCGAAAGAUGGUGAACUAUGCCUGAAUAGGGUGAAGCCAGAGGAAACUCUGGUGGAGGCUCGCAGCGGUUCUGACGUGCAAAUCGAUCGUCAAAUUUGGGUAUAGGGGCGAAAGACUAAUCGAACCU